GCUUACGGCCACACCGGGGUUCACGCCCGAUCUCGCUUUGAUCUCGGAAGCUAAGAUAGGUUGGGCCUGGUUAGUACUUGGAUGGGAGACCGCCUGGGAAUACCAGGUGCUGUGCUUU
RNAcentral lists this ribosomal RNA (118 nucleotides) under Scophthalmus maximus (turbot). Lineage: Eukaryota; Metazoa; Chordata; Actinopteri; Pleuronectiformes; Scophthalmidae. The record is from RNAcentral.